Molecule: ribosomal RNA, 1183 nt
Filed under: uncultured bacterium
Lineage: Bacteria
Description: bacterial SSU rRNA
Rfam family: Bacterial small subunit ribosomal RNA
Source: RNAcentral
ACUUAAGGAAAAAGAUUUAUCGGUACAGGAUGGGCCCUGCGUCUGAUUAGUUAGUUUGGUAAGGUAACGGCUUACCAAGACGAAUGAUCAGUAGCCCGACCCUGAGAGGGUGAACGGCCACACUGGAACUUGAGACACGGUCCCAGAACUCUCUACGGGAGGCAGCAGUGGGGAAUAUUUGCACAAUUGGGGAAACCCUGAUGCAGAACGCCGCGUGAGCGAUGAAGGCCUUCGGGUCGUAAAGCUCUGUCCUAAGGGAAGAAAAGGACGGUACCUUAGGAGGAAGCCCCGGCUAACUACGUGCCAGCAGCCGCGGUAAUACGUAGGGGGCAAGCGUUAUCCGGAAUUACUGGGCGUAAAGGGUGCGUAGCCGGUUAAAUAAGUCAGAGGUAAAAGGCAAUGGCUCAACCAUUGUAAGCCUUUGAAACUAUUUGACUUGAGUAUAGGAGAGGAGAGUAGAAUUUCUAGUGUAGCGGUGAAAUGCGUAGAUAUUAGAAGGAAUACCAGUGGCGAAGGCGACUCUCUGGACUAUUACUGACGCUGAGGCACGAAAGCGUGGGGAGCAAACAGGAUUAGAUACCCUGGUAGUCCACGCCGUAAACGAUGAGUGCUAGGUGUCGGGGGUCAAACCUCGGUGCCGGAGUUAACACAUUAAGCACUCCGCCUGGGGAGUACGCUCGCAAGAGUAAAACUCAAAGGAAUUGACGGGGACCCGCACAAGCAGCGGAGCAUGUGGUUUAAUUCGAAGCAACGCGAAGAACCUUACCUGAGCUUGACAUACUACUGACCGGUCUUUAAUAGGACCUUUCCUUCGGGACAGUGGAUACAGGUGGUGCAUGGUUGUCGUCAGCUCGUGUCGUGAGAUGUUGGGUUAAGUCCCGUAACGAGCGCAACCCUUGUCUUUAGUUGCCAUCAGGUAAAGCUGGGCACUCUAGAGAGACUGCCGUGGAUAACACGGAGGAAGGUGGGGGUGACGUCAAAUCAUCAUGCCCCUUAUGUUCAGGGCUACACACGUGCUACAAAUGGCUAAUACAAAAGGGCAGCAAAGAGGGUGACCCUUAAGCGAAUCCCCAUAAAGUUAGUCUCAAGUUCGGAUUGCAGGCUGAAACUCGCCUGCAUGAAAGCUGGAGUUGCUAGUAAUCGUGGAUCAGAAUGCCACGGUGAAUGCGUUCCCGGGUCUUGU